AACAUCUCUAACUGAGUAUUACAUUUAGUAAGGCCUGCUCAAUGACCCGUUAAAUGGCCGCGAUUAUCCGUGCUAAGGUAGCAUAAUCAAUUGCCUUUUAAUUGGAGGCUAGAAUGAACGGCUUAACAUGUUAGUACCUUUAUUUUUAGGACCUCUUAAAAUUUCCCUGAGAGUAAAAAUACUCUCAUGACUAAGGGGGACGACAAGACCCUAUCGAACUUUACUUAUUCUAGUUGUGCUGGGGUGGCCUAAAACAAAUGCUUUCUUUUCCUCUUCAUUUAAGCCCGACGUAGGAUAAACCAAGUUACCGUAGGGAUAGCAGCAUAAUUUUUUCCUAGAGACCGUAUUCGAGAAAAAGAUUGUGACCUUGAUGUUGAAUUAAUGUUCUUUUAUGAAGCAAGAUUCUAAAAAGAAAGUCUGUUCGACUUUUAAAUAAUUACGUG
This is a ribosomal RNA of 443 nucleotides. It matches the Rfam family "Bacterial large subunit ribosomal RNA", at positions 1826 to 2602 of the family's 2925-position model.